UUCCUCCUUCUGUGGGUUGUUGAAACCUCGUACCUCUGUCACUCGAUGGACACACUCGAUGGGGAUGAGAUCAGCUGCUGCUGGUCUGGAGGUGAUCCAGAUGAGUGCAGAGGGAAGCAGAUUCCCCGCAAUGAGGGAAAAAGACAUGAAGGAGAUCUGAAAGACUGAGUCCUUCAAGUUGACUUUUGUCCAUCAAGUUGAGCUCUCUGAAAGGAAGUGGAAAUAUGAGCUGGAUGUCCUGAUUCUCUUUCCCUUCAGCCCAGUCCAGGAUGAAUUUCUGCACAGAGACUGUUUUUCCGAUGCCAGCGACUCCCUUUGUCAGCACUGUUCUGAUGGGUUUGUCUUGUUCAGAAAUGUUGUACCUGAGAUCAUUUGAAGUGUCUCUUCCCUUGAAUUUUACUGGUGGCUCCAUAGACUGAUCACUCCUCAUGGACACACAGCUGGACUCUGACUGGGGCUCAGAGGUUCGAGGGCAGAACCACAGAAGGUGGAGCCGAGGGGCUAAAGGGAGACAGUGGAGGCGAGGCUGAGGAGAAGGAGAGAGGGAGGCUGAGUGGGACCAUCUGCGACAAAGGAGACUUUGAGCUGGGUAAUGCCAAUGAUGACGAAGGAGACUAGGUGCUGGGCUAAACCAGUGGCAACGGAGAAGACUUGAAGCUGAGCUGUACCAGUGGUGACAAAGGUGACUUGGGACUGGACUGAACCAGCAGAGACAAAGACAACUUGGGACUGGACUAAACUAGCAGAGAUCAAGACGACUUGGGAUUGGACAGGAACAGCGGAGACUGGAGACCUUGAAACAUUUCAUCAUCCAACACAUCAACUAAUUCCUUGGAGACCCAGCUUAUAGCAUGCACUUCAGUGACAGAAGUGUGGGCGGGGCUUCAACCCAUCCCCUCAAACUCCACUAAAAUACCCUGAGUUAUAGAAGGGUCAUGCACCUGUUCAGACUCUACAAUUGGCUUGGGUUCCAGGAAAAAAUUAGCCUCUGGUGUAUGCAAAGUGUGUACAUAUAAACAGUGCUUUCAGAAUCUGAUUGAAAUCGGAUUGGAUUAAUUUGGAUUGUCUUUGUCAGGAAAUCUUUGUUUUAAAAAACAUUUUUUAUUAUUAUUAUAAAAAGGGAACGUUCAAUUUUAUUAUUUUACAAACAUUAUGGGCACGUUACUUUUGAAUGUUCUCUAAACAUUAUGAAACAAGUAAUAACAUUUUAAAUAUGUUGGAUGUUUUUCAGAAAAAAAUUCUAUGAACAGAGUAUAAAUAAUUUUUUGUGCUAGCGUUUUGAGAACAGCAUUAAAAGACCAGAUAACUUUGAAUGAAUUUCUGGAAUAAUAUUUGUUCAAAAUUUUGAGAGAACCUUGUCAGAAUGUUAGCCAAAGUUCUGAGAACGUUCCCUGUUAGCUGGCUACACCUCAUUCAGGUUAUCAUGGGGUGAAUUAUUUUGGGGUGAAUCCGAGCACAGUUGCUGUGUUCAUAUAUGUCUAAACGAACCUAACUAUAGGGAAAAACAAAUGCUCCAAAUUAGCCAAAUGUGACUAUUUAGUUUGAUAAUAUUGUUUUGGUCCAGAAUCAGUUUGAUGGGGAUCAGUAGAUGUUAGUGAAACAUCAGGACUGACAUUCUGGACCAGCUGUGAGAAGGGACCUGAUCUGUUCCUCAACUCUUGAAUUGCAGAGCUUUAUAAUAGUAUUAAUGGUGGCCACUGAGUUUUAAAUGCUUCCAAAAUUUGAUUGCCCAUUUCUAUACUUUGAUAAUAAGUGGAUAUUUGUUUUGUGCCAUAGGUCUCUGUCUGUCUAAACAAAAAUG
Ctenopharyngodon idella (grass carp) is the source of this 1801-nucleotide long non-coding RNA. RefSeq lists it as uncharacterized. The transcript is spliced from 4 exons. The record is from RefSeq and is a predicted model, not a curated record. Lineage: Eukaryota; Metazoa; Chordata; Actinopteri; Cypriniformes; Xenocyprididae.